This 35-nucleotide transfer RNA is filed under the name Meristogenys whiteheadi (Whitehead's Borneo frog). RNAcentral describes it as "partial tRNA-Arg". Lineage: Eukaryota; Metazoa; Chordata; Amphibia; Anura; Ranidae. The record is from RNAcentral.
GGCUCCAAGGAGGACUUGAAUGAGCCGAGUGGAGU